GUCCUUUAGAAUAAUAAAAAUUAAAGGUUUAAUCUGCCCAAUGAUUUUUGAAUGGCCGCGGUAAUCUGACCGUGCAAAGGUAGCAUAAUAAUUAGUCUUUUAAUUGAAGGCUAGAAUGAAAGAUUGAAUGAAAAAUUAACUAUAUUAAUAUGAUUAUUUAUAAUUUAAUUUUUAGAUAAAAAAGUCUAAAUAUUUUAGUGGGACGAGAAGACCCUAUAGAGUUUAAAAAUAGUUUUUAAUUAUUGAAUUUAGAUUUAUUAAACCAAUUAAUUAUUUAAUUAAUUUUUUUGUUGGGGUGAUAUUAAAAUAAAUUUAACUUUUAAUAAAUACAUCAUUAAUUAAUGUUUAAUUGAUCCAAUUUUAUUUUUUUGAAAAAAAGAUCAAAUUACCUUAGGGAUAACAGCGUAAUUAAUUUGAAGAGUUCAAAUCGAUAAAUUAGUUUGCGACCUCGAUGUUGGAUUAAGACAAGAUAUUGGAGCAGAUUUUACUAAAACUAGGUCUGUUCGACCUUUUAAUUCUU
This 520-nucleotide ribosomal RNA is filed under the name Cryptotympana mandarina. Its description in RNAcentral is "partial 16S ribosomal RNA". It matches the Rfam family "Archaeal large subunit ribosomal RNA", at positions 1953 to 2666 of the family's 2987-position model. The record is from RNAcentral. Lineage: Eukaryota; Metazoa; Arthropoda; Insecta; Hemiptera; Cicadidae.